AGUUGAUUGCCAAGUUCGCUACUGAACAUGGAAAUGACCAUUUGACUGAUUUAAAAAUCGUCUCUAGCGUAUUCGUCCACGUCGACCUUUGCUCCAAAGCAAAUGGCGUUGAUUGCGUUUGGCGUCAUCUUAAAUUCAGGCAUCGAUUUUCCGUAGACUUUCAAAGUGUGAAACAAGCUGACGAAGUCCUGGGUGCAGAACAGAGUGUCGGCCAGCGCCACACCCAGCGUGGACGGGAUGAAGCCUCGGCCGUACUCCACCAUCCAUGUUCCGGCGGUCCACUGAACCCCCGCGGCCUCCCCCAUAUGGUGCAUCACUGUGUCACCUGUGUUUGAUGUUAUACAAAGGUACCAGAGACAAGGGUGUCAGAAAUGUCAGCCCAGUAACGACCUACAGACACAGAGGAAGAAAGUCGAAGAAACUUUUCACAAAUCAAUGCCUGUAAAAUUCCACAAAAAGGAGGAUUACACCAUCAACACUAUUGUCAGGGGGCAGCCUUGGACUCAUGACAAUUUGAGUUAUGGGACCAAAUACUUUGGAAAAACCUCAAUUCCAUUGACAUGCCUUCCUAUGAAGAAGCAAGUCUGGGGACUCUGAAACUUGUUCUCCUACCUCUGGGGCUGAAGUCACAGAGGUGUUUUAAAAGAAAAAAACUUGCUUGGUGGCAAGGUGAGAUUUGCCCGGAUUUCCUACACCCUGAAGAUUAGACGUGCUCAAUGUGUCGAUCUCGAUCGACCACGAUCAAUACGGGCACGUCAUAUCGGGAGGAAGCUCAAGAAAUGCUGACGAGACUAUGUCUCUGACAUCAUCACCUCGAGUUUCACCACAGAAGAGCGGGACAAAGUGGCUGGGGAGAGUGAAGUCUGGGUUUCUAUGCUUAAAAUGCUGCCCCUGUGAUCUGACUUCGGAAAAAAUGAAUGAAUAACCAUUACAAAUUAAGUAAACUUAAUCCCUUUCACUAUGUUCAGAAUGUGAUAAACACACACACUUCCCUCUG
Molecule: long non-coding RNA, 997 nt
Organism: Syngnathoides biaculeatus (alligator pipefish)
Lineage: Eukaryota; Metazoa; Chordata; Actinopteri; Syngnathiformes; Syngnathidae
Exons: 3
Source: RefSeq, a predicted model, not a curated record